This 360-nucleotide ribosomal RNA is filed under the name Prolixibacteraceae bacterium. Its description in RNAcentral is "bacterial SSU rRNA". It matches the Rfam family "Bacterial small subunit ribosomal RNA", at positions 1 to 362 of the family's 1533-position model. The record is from RNAcentral. Lineage: Bacteria; Pseudomonadati; Bacteroidota; Bacteroidia; Marinilabiliales; Prolixibacteraceae.
UACAACGAAGAGUUUGAUCCUGGNNUCAGGAUGAACGCUAGCGGGAGGCCUAACACAUGCAAGUCGAGCGGGAUUGGCAGCAAUGCCAUGAGAGCGGCGCACGGGUGAGUAACGCGUAUGCAACCUACCUUAAACAGGGGGAUAGCCCAUGGAAACGUGGAUUAAUACCCCAUAUUAUUAUUGGUCCGCAUGGAUUGAUAAUCAAAGCUCCGGCGGUUUAAGAUGGGCAUGCGUGACAUUAGUUAGUUGGUGAGGUAACGGCUCACCAAGACUACGAUGUCUAGGGGUUCUGAGAGGAUGAUCCCCCACACUGGUACUGAGACACGGACCAGACUCCUACGGGAGGCAGCAGUGAGGAAU